GACGAACGCUGGCGGCGUGCUUAACACAUGCAAGUCGAACGGAAAGGCCCUGUUCUUGUGGGGUGCUGGAGUGGCGAACGGGAGAGUAUCCCGUUAGUAAGCUGACCUCGGCUUUGGGAUAACUUUAGGACACUGGGGCCAAUACCGGAAAGGAGCUCAUGCUGCAUGGUGGGGGCUGGCAAGUUUCGGCGGAUGGGGUUGGGCGCGUGGCUUACAAGCCUGUUGGUGGGGUGGUGACUUAGCAAGGCUUUGACGGGUAGCCGGCCGGAGAGGGUGACCGGCCACAAUGGGACUGCGAAGCGACCCCGACUCCUACGGGGGGCGGCAGUGGGGAGUAUUGCCCAAUAGUCGGAAGCCGGAUGCAGCAACGCCGCGGGCGGGAUGACGACCGUCGAGUUGUAGACCGCUUUCGCCUGUGACGAAGCGGGAAUGACGGUAAUUGGUAAAUAAGCACCGGCUAACUACGUG
This 468-nucleotide ribosomal RNA is filed under the name uncultured bacterium. RNAcentral describes it as "partial 16S ribosomal RNA". It matches the Rfam family "Bacterial small subunit ribosomal RNA", at positions 28 to 507 of the family's 1533-position model. The record is from RNAcentral.